This is a long non-coding RNA of Ailuropoda melanoleuca (giant panda), 317 nucleotides long. RefSeq lists it as uncharacterized. The record is from RefSeq and is a predicted model, not a curated record. NCBI's taxonomy places the organism in Eukaryota, Metazoa, Chordata, Mammalia, Carnivora, Ursidae. The transcript is spliced from 3 exons.
CUUUGCUGCUGAUGAGACUUAAAUCCAGAAAGGCAUUCUUUCGUCUCUGGCGACUCCAUCAGUAUUUAAAGCAGCACCUCCUGCAGGCUCCAGGCUGGCCUCACGACCCGCUUUGUCUAACUGGACAUUAACGAGCUUCAUGCAGUCAGGGGUUUGAAAAGAGAUUGCACACUGGGACUUGUCCUCUUUUGCUUCUCUUCAGAAUCUUGUGACUGCCACCAUGUGAAGAAGGCCUGGAGUUUUCAGUGUGUCUUCCGGCUGUGUGUUCUGAGUCUCAAGCACAUUUCAACCCGAUCACUUUAAAGCAGAAGAAAUAU